UCCUUUGAGAAACAAGCUGAAGUAAUGAGCAGACAUUAUGGAGGCCCAGUCCCACAGCUCGACGACAACUGAGAGGAAGAAAGCUGAAAGUUCCAUUGCGAAGUGUCCCACAAGAACAGAUGUCAGUGAGAAGGCCGUGGCCUCCAGUACCACUUCAAAUGAGGAUGAAAGUGCUGGACAGAUCUAUCACCGAGAGAGAAGAAACGCAAUCACUAUGCAGCCUCAGAGUGUGCAGGGUCUCAGCAAAAUCAGUGAGGAGCCCUCAACAUCUAGUGAUGAGAGGGCCUCGUUGAUCAAGAAAGAGAUCCAUGGAUCUCUACCACAUCUGGCUGAGCCCUCUCUCCCUUAUCGUGGGACUGUGUUUGCCAUGGAUCCCCGGAAUGGUUACAUGGAGCCUCACUACC
RNAcentral lists this long non-coding RNA (404 nucleotides) under Rattus norvegicus (Norway rat). Its description in RNAcentral is "long non-coding RNA NONRATT012983". The record is from RNAcentral. Lineage: Eukaryota; Metazoa; Chordata; Mammalia; Rodentia; Muridae.